ACGGGGGGAGCAAGCGUUGUUCGGAAUCACUGGGCGUAAAGGGCGUGUAGGCGGUUAGGUAAGUGGGAUGUGAAAUGCCUCGGCUCACCCGAGGAUCGGCAUCCCAAACUGCCCGACUUGAGUAUGGGAGAGGAUGAGGGAAUUCCUGGUGUAGCGGUGAAAUGCGUAGAUAUCUGGAGGAACACCGGUGGCGAAGGCGGCAUCCUGGACCGGUAUUGACGCUGAGGCGCGAAAGCGUGGGGAGCAAACAGGA
Molecule: ribosomal RNA, 253 nt
Filed under: uncultured prokaryote
Description: partial 16S ribosomal RNA
Rfam family: Bacterial small subunit ribosomal RNA
Source: RNAcentral